UUGAGAGCGGCGGACGGGUGAGUAAUGCCUAGGAAUCUGCCUGGUAGUGGGGGAUAACGCUCGGAAACGGACGCUAAUACCGCAUACGUCCUACGGGAGAAAGCAGGGGACCUUCGGGCCUUGCGCUAUCAGAUGAGCCUAGGUCGGAUUAGCUAGUUGGUGAGGUAAUGGCUCACCAAGGCGACGAUCCGUCAACUGGUCUGAGAGGAUGAUCAGUCACACUGGAACUGAGACACGGUCCAGACUCCUACGGGAGGCACCACUGGGGAAUAUUGGACAAUGGGCGAAAGCCUGAUCCAGCCAUGCCGCGUGUGUGAAGAAGGUCUUCGGAUUGUAAAGCACUUUAAGUUGGGAGGAAGAGCAGUAACCUAAUACGUUAUUGUUUUGACGUUACCGACAGAAUAAGCACCGGCUAACUCUGUGC
RNAcentral lists this ribosomal RNA (424 nucleotides) under Pseudomonas viridiflava. RNAcentral describes it as "bacterial SSU rRNA". It matches the Rfam family "Bacterial small subunit ribosomal RNA", at positions 89 to 508 of the family's 1533-position model. Lineage: Bacteria; Pseudomonadati; Pseudomonadota; Gammaproteobacteria; Pseudomonadales; Pseudomonadaceae. The record is from RNAcentral.